This 465-nucleotide ribosomal RNA is filed under the name Vreelandella stevensii. Its description in RNAcentral is "partial 16S ribosomal RNA". It matches the Rfam family "Bacterial small subunit ribosomal RNA", at positions 338 to 795 of the family's 1533-position model. Lineage: Bacteria; Pseudomonadati; Pseudomonadota; Gammaproteobacteria; Oceanospirillales; Halomonadaceae. The record is from RNAcentral.
CCUACGUGCUGCAGCAGUGGGGAAUAUUGGACAAUGGGCGAAAGCCUGAUCCAGCAAUGCCGCGUGUGUGAAGAAGGCCUUCGGGUUGUAAAGCACUUUCAGUGGGGAAGAAAGCCUUGGGGCUAAUACCCUCGAGGAAGGACAUCACCCACAGAAGAAGCACCGGCUAACUCCGUGCCAGCAGCCGCGGUAAUACGGAGGGUGCGAGCGUUAAUCGGAAUUACUGGGCGUAAAGCGCGCGUAGGCGGUCUGAUAAGCCGGUUGUGAAAGCCCCGGGCUCAACCUGGGAACGGCAUCCGGAACUGUCAGGCUAGAGUGCAGGAGAGGAAGGUAGAAUUCCCGGUGUAGCGGUGAAAUGCGUAGAGAUCGGGAGGAAUACCAGUGGCGAAGGCGGCCUUCUGGACUGACACUGACGCUGAGGUGCGAAAGCGUGGGUAGCAAACAGGAUUAGAUACCCCAGUAGUC